GACCUCGGAUCAGGUAGGAGUCCCGCUGAACUUAAGCUUCAAUACGCCCUGAGG
Molecule: ribosomal RNA, 54 nt
Filed under: Ophiocordyceps sobolifera
Lineage: Eukaryota; Fungi; Ascomycota; Sordariomycetes; Hypocreales; Ophiocordycipitaceae
Description: partial 28S ribosomal RNA
Source: RNAcentral